UUAAAAAGCUCGUAGUUGGAUUUCUGUCGAGGGCGGCCGGUCCGCACUAUGUGCGUGUAUCUGGUUCGGUCUUGGCAUCCUCUUGGGGAUCGUUCGUGUGCUUGGUUGCAUGCGACGGAAUUCAAGACUUUUACUUUGAGGAAAUUAGAGUGUUCACGGCAAGCUAUCGCUUUGAAUACAUUAGCAUGGAAUAAUAAUAUAGGGCGUAAGUUCUAUCUUGUUGGUUCAUAGAAAAUACGCAAUGAUUAAUAGGGAUAAUUGGGGGCACCCGUAUUAAUGCGUCAGAGGUGGAAUUCUCAGAUUGCGUUACGACGAACUACUGCGAAAGCAUUUGCCAAGGAUGUUUUCAUUGAUCAAGAACGAAAGUAUGGGGAUCGAAGACGAUUAGAUACCGUCGUAGUCUAUACCAUAAACUAUGCCAACUAGAGAUUGGAGGUCGUUUUAUUUAUGACUCCUUCAGCACCUUAUGAGAAAUCAAAGUUUUUGGGUUCCGUGGGGAGUAUGGU
RNAcentral lists this ribosomal RNA (506 nucleotides) under uncultured marine eukaryote. RNAcentral describes it as "SSU rRNA". It matches the Rfam family "Eukaryotic small subunit ribosomal RNA", at positions 619 to 1129 of the family's 1831-position model. The record is from RNAcentral.